AACGAACGCUGGCGGCAUGCCUAACACGUGCAAGUCGAACGAAGCCUUCGGGCUUAGUGGCGCACGGGUGCGUAACGCGUGGGAAUCUGCCCUUUGGUUCGGAAUAACAGUUGGAAACGACUGCUAAUACCGGAUGAUGACGAAAGUCCAAAGAUUUAUCGCCAGAGGAUGAGCCCGCGUAGGAUUAGCUAGUUGGUGUGGUAAAGGCGCACCAAGGCGACGAUCCUUAGCUGGUCUGAGAGAAUGAUCAGCCACACUGGGCCUGAGACACGGCCCAGACUCCUACGGGAGGCAGCAGUGGGGAAUAUUGGACAAUGGUCGAAAGCCUGAUCCAGCAAUGCCGUGUGAGUGAUGAAGGCCCUAGGGUUGUAAAGCUCUUUUACCCGGGAUGAUAAUGACAGUACCGGGAGAAUAAGCCCCGGCUAACUCCGUGCCAGCAGCCGCCGUAA
Molecule: ribosomal RNA, 449 nt
Filed under: uncultured bacterium
Lineage: Bacteria
Description: partial 16S ribosomal RNA
Rfam family: Bacterial small subunit ribosomal RNA
Source: RNAcentral